AAUCUGCGAAAAGCGUCGGUAAGGUGAUAUGAACCGUUACAGCCGGCGAUGUCCGAAUGGGGAAACCCAGUGUGAUUCGUCACACUAUCGUUAACUGAAUACAUAGGUUAACGAGGCGAACCGGGGGAACUGAAACAUCUAAGUACCCCGAGGAAAAGAAAUCAACCGAGAUUCCCCCAGUAGCGGCGAGCGAACGGGGAGCAGCCCAGAGUCUGAAUCAGCUUGUGUGUUAGUGGAACGGUCUGGAAAGUCCGACGGUACAGGGUGAUAGUCCCGUACACCAAAAUGCACAGGCUGUGAACUCGAAGAGUAGGGCGGGACACGUGGUAUCCUGUCUGAAUAUGGGGGGACCAUCCUCCAAGGCUAAAUACUCCUGACUGACCGAUAGUGAACCAGUACCGUGAGGGAAAGGCGAAAAGAACCCCGGCGAGGGGAGUGAAAAAGAACCUGAAACCGUGUACGUACAAGCAGUGGGAGCACCUUCGGGUGUGACUGCGUACCUUUUGUAUAAUGGGUCAGCGACUUAUAUUCUGUAGCAAGGUUAACCGUAUAGGGGAGCCGCAGGGAAACCGAGUCUUAACUGGGCGUUAAGUUGCAGGGUAUAGACCCGAAACCCGGUGAUCUAGCCAUGGGCAGGUUGAAGGUUGGGUAACACUAACUGGAGGACCGAACCGACUAAUGUUGAAAAAUUAGCGGAUGACUUGUGGCUGGGGGUGAAAGGCCAAUCAAACCGGGAGAUAGCUGGUUCUCCCCGAAAGCU
RNAcentral lists this ribosomal RNA (760 nucleotides) under Klebsiella pneumoniae. RNAcentral describes it as "partial 23S ribosomal RNA". It matches the Rfam family "Bacterial large subunit ribosomal RNA", at positions 63 to 867 of the family's 2925-position model. The record is from RNAcentral. Lineage: Bacteria; Pseudomonadati; Pseudomonadota; Gammaproteobacteria; Enterobacterales; Enterobacteriaceae.